UCAUUACAAUCAAAAGGAGACAAUUCCAUCAUUUAGCAUAUCAACCAUUGUCUGGUCGAAUAUGACGGUUGUUUGUACAAUGUGUCACAUCAUACUCGAGAAAUUUCCACCACUCUUAGUAUAUAAAAGUUGUUGGAAUAUUAUGUUAAUAUUUUAAUAUAGGGAGAUGAAUUUGAAAAGGUUCUUUAAGUUCCACAUUGUGUGUUAGUUGAAAAAACUCCUUAGUCUCACAUUGCUUAGGUGUGAUAUCUUAGCUGCCUCACUUUAUUAUAUAAGGAAAUUCCUCGUUUCAUUCCAAAAUACACCAAAAACUUAUUUUGAGUUUU
Molecule: long non-coding RNA, 326 nt
Filed under: Lathyrus oleraceus (garden pea)
Lineage: Eukaryota; Viridiplantae; Streptophyta; Magnoliopsida; Fabales; Fabaceae
Description: Pisum sativum (pea) long non-coding RNA (PSAT_LNC021362)
Source: RNAcentral